This 236-nucleotide long non-coding RNA is filed under the name Mytilus galloprovincialis (Mediterranean mussel). The record is from RNAcentral. Lineage: Eukaryota; Metazoa; Mollusca; Bivalvia; Mytilida; Mytilidae.
UAGUGAGGCCCCUCAUGGGGGGGUCCUAGUAAUCACAUAAUCACCAUUUUUUUGCCAAUAUAAUCACAUAAUCAUUAAAUAUUUGCUUAUCUUUAGUAAUCAAAUAAUCAUAAACUAAAAAUACAGUCCUAGGUAAUCAAAUAAUCAUGAAAUAUUUGGCUUAAUAAUCAAAUAAUCAUUAAAAAAACGGCCAAGUAAUCACAUAAUCAAAAACCCCAUGAGGGCCCUCAUUAGUA